GACGUAGGGGGCGAGCGUUGUCCGGAUUUAUUGGGCGUAAAGAGCUCGUAGGCGGCUCAACAAGUUGGGUGUGAAACCUCCAGGCUCAACCUGGAGGCGCCACCCAAGACUGUUGUGGCUAGAGUCCGGUAGGGGAACACGGAAUUCCCGGUGUAGCGGUGAAAUGCUUAGAUAUCGGGAGGAACACCAGUGGCGAAGGCGGUGUUCUGGGCCGGAACUGACGCUGAGGAGCGAAAGCGUGGGUAGCAAACAGG
Molecule: ribosomal RNA, 254 nt
Filed under: uncultured bacterium
Lineage: Bacteria
Description: partial 16S ribosomal RNA
Rfam family: Bacterial small subunit ribosomal RNA
Source: RNAcentral